AUCUAGCUGACGAGUCCCAAAUACAACGAAACGCGCGUCUAAACUGAAU
Molecule: non-coding RNA, 49 nt
Filed under: Schistosoma margrebowiei
Lineage: Eukaryota; Metazoa; Platyhelminthes; Trematoda; Strigeidida; Schistosomatidae
Source: RNAcentral